Camelina sativa (false flax) is the source of this 590-nucleotide non-coding RNA. Lineage: Eukaryota; Viridiplantae; Streptophyta; Magnoliopsida; Brassicales; Brassicaceae. The record is from RefSeq and is a predicted model, not a curated record.
GAUUACAUAUCCAUCCACAGGCUGACAUCAUCGUUCGUGGAUAUGCUGGUUGGAAUUCUAGGUUUGCCUUGAAGGUCUUAGACCAAGUCUUCCCAAAGGAUGCUGUGAUACAACCUUCAUUGGUGAUAGUCUAUUUCGGUGGGAAUGAUUCAAUGGAUCCUCAUCCAUCAGGCUUUGGUCCUCAUGUUCCUUUAUCUGAAUUCAUUGAUAACAUGAGAAAAAUUGGAGAGCAUCUUUUGGUAAUGCCCUUUUAAAAGUUUUUUGAAUGUUGAGUGACAUGUUUCACUUGUUAGUGCCUCUCCUUUACUUGCUAACUCUUGGUAUCUUCUUAUUCAUCUUCUUACUAGGGGCUUUCGGAUAAGACCCGCGUCAUUUUUCUUACUCCUCCGCCAAUGAAUGAGAAACAGAUCCAGCUAGUUUUUGGGGAUGUGAUAAAAGGCCGGAGUAACGAGCGUUGAUCUCCAGGUGGAUUUCUGUAGAUAUGUUAUCAAGAACAGCUUUUGGAAACAAUGUGGAAGAAGGGAAAGAAAUCUUUGCGUUGCAGGAGCGUAUGAUGCGUCUUUUCUAUCUGGUUAGAUGGAGCGUUUAUA